GGACCGUAGCGCAGAGGUCGUCGCGUCCGGCUCCAGAGGAUCGGAAGGACGCCGGUUCGAUUCCGGUCGGUUCACCA
This 77-nucleotide transfer RNA is filed under the name Plantactinospora soyae. Its description in RNAcentral is "tRNA-Trp". It matches the Rfam family "tRNA". From Rfam's summary of the family: Transfer RNA (tRNA) molecules are approximately 80 nucleotides in length. Their secondary structure includes four short double-helical elements and three loops (D, anti-codon, and T loops). The record is from RNAcentral. Lineage: Bacteria; Bacillati; Actinomycetota; Actinomycetes; Micromonosporales; Micromonosporaceae.